UACGUAGGGGGCGAGCGUUGUCCGAAGUUACUGGGCGUAAAGCGCGCGUAGGCGGGCUGUUAAGUGAGAGGUGAAAGGCUGGGGCUCAACCCCAUGCAGUGCCUCUCAUACUGGCGGUCUUGAGGGUGGCAGGGAGAAGUGGAAUGGCUGGUGUAGCGGUGAAAUGCGUAGAUAUCAGUCGGAACACCUGUGGCGAAGGCGGCUUCUUGGGCCAUUUUCCUGACGCUGAGGCGCGAAAGCCAGGG
RNAcentral lists this ribosomal RNA (245 nucleotides) under uncultured bacterium. RNAcentral's name for it is "partial 16S ribosomal RNA". It matches the Rfam family "Bacterial small subunit ribosomal RNA", at positions 524 to 765 of the family's 1533-position model. The record is from RNAcentral.